ACUGAACGCCGGCGGAAUGCUUUACACAUGCAAGUCGAACGGUAGAGGGGGCAACCCCUCGAGAGUGGCGAACGGGUGAGUAAUAUAUCGGAACGUGCCCAGUCGUGGGGGAUAACGUAGCGAAAGUUACGCUAAUACCGCAUACGAUCUAAGGAUGAAAGCGGGGGAUCGCAAGACCUCGCGCGAUUGGAGCGGCCGAUAUCAGAUUAGGUAGUUGGUGGGGUAAGGGCUCACCAAGCCAACGAUCUGUAGCUGGUCUGAGAGGACGACCAGCCACACUGGAGCUGAGACACGGUCCAGACUCCUACGGGAGGCAGCAGUGGGGAAUUUUGGACAAUGGACGCAAGUCUGAUCCAGCCAUUCCGCGUGCAGGAUGAAGGCCCUCGGGUUGUAAACUGCUUUUGUACGGAACGAAAAGGUCUCUCUUAAUACGGGGGGCUCAUGACGGUACCGUAAGAAUAAGCACCGGCUAACUACGUGCCAGCCGCCGCCGUAA
RNAcentral lists this ribosomal RNA (496 nucleotides) under uncultured bacterium. Its description in RNAcentral is "partial 16S ribosomal RNA". It matches the Rfam family "Bacterial small subunit ribosomal RNA", at positions 30 to 523 of the family's 1533-position model. The record is from RNAcentral.